This 253-nucleotide ribosomal RNA is filed under the name uncultured bacterium. Its description in RNAcentral is "partial 16S ribosomal RNA". It matches the Rfam family "Bacterial small subunit ribosomal RNA", at positions 524 to 776 of the family's 1533-position model. The record is from RNAcentral.
UACGAAGGGGGCUAGCGUUGUUCGGAAUCACUGGGCGUAAAGCGCGCGUAGGCGGAUUGUUAAGUCAGGGGUGAAAUUCCGAGGCUCAACCUCGGAACUGCCUUUGAUACUGGCGAUCUAGAGUCCGGGAGAGGUGAGUGGAACUCCUAGUGUAGAGGUGAAAUUCGUAGAUAUUAGGAAGAACACCAGUGGCGAAGGCGGCUCACUGGCCCGGUACUGACGCUGAUGUGCGAAAGCGUGGGGAGCAAACAGG